RNAcentral lists this ribosomal RNA (428 nucleotides) under Bacteroidota bacterium. RNAcentral describes it as "Bacteroidetes bacterium partial 16S ribosomal RNA". It matches the Rfam family "Bacterial small subunit ribosomal RNA", at positions 355 to 776 of the family's 1533-position model. Lineage: Bacteria; Pseudomonadati; Bacteroidota. The record is from RNAcentral.
UAGGGAAUCUUCCGCAAUGGGCGAAAGCCUGACGGAGCAACGCCGCGUGAGUGAUGAAGGUCUUCGGAUCGUAAAACUCUGUUAUUAGGGAAGAACAAAUGUGUAAGUAACUAUGCACGUCUUGACGGCACCUAAUCAGAAAGCCACGGCUAACUACGUGCCAGCAGCCGCGGUAAUACGUAGGUGGCAAGCGUUGUCCGGAUUUAUUGGGCGUAAAGCGAGCGCAGGCGGUUAGAUAAGUCUGAAGUUAAAGGCAGUGGCUCAACCAUUGUAGGCUUUGGAAACUGUUUAACUUGAGUGCAGAAGGGGAGAGGGGAAUUCCAUAUGUAGCGGUGAAAUGCGUAGAUAUAUGGAGGAACACCGGUGGCGAAAGCGACGCUCUGGUCUGUAACUGACGCUGAGGCUCGAAAGCGUGGGGAGCGAACAGG